This 490-nucleotide ribosomal RNA is filed under the name Streptomyces sp. BC580. Its description in RNAcentral is "bacterial SSU rRNA". It matches the Rfam family "Bacterial small subunit ribosomal RNA", at positions 32 to 541 of the family's 1533-position model. Lineage: Bacteria; Bacillati; Actinomycetota; Actinomycetes; Kitasatosporales; Streptomycetaceae. The record is from RNAcentral.
GUCAAAAACGCUGGCGGCGUCGUUAACACAUGCAAGUCGAACGAUGGAACCACUUCGGUGGGGAUUAGUGGCGAACGGGUGAUUAACACUUGGGCAAUCUGCCCUGCACUCUGGGACAAGCCCUGGAAGACGGGGUCUAAUACCGGAUACUGAUCCGCCUGGGCAUCCAGGCGGUUCGAAAGCUCCGGCGGUGCAGGAUGAGCCCGCGGCCUAUCACACUUGUUGGUGAGGUAGUGGCUCACCAAGGCAACAACGGGUACCCGGCCUGAAAGGGCAACCGGCCACACUGGGACUGAAACACGGCCCAAACUCCUACGGGAGGCACCAUUGGGGAAUAUUGCACAAUGGGCAAAAGCUGAUGCACCAACCCCGCUUUGAGGGAUAACGGCCUUCGGGUUUUAACCUCUUUCAGCAGGGAAAAACGAAUUUGACGGUACUGCAAAAAAACGCCGGCUACUACUUCCACACCGCGGUAUACUUAGGCCAACUU